This 1239-nucleotide ribosomal RNA is filed under the name metagenome. RNAcentral's name for it is "SSU rRNA". It matches the Rfam family "Eukaryotic small subunit ribosomal RNA", at positions 528 to 1790 of the family's 1831-position model. The record is from RNAcentral.
AAACCGUUCCCGAGGAUCUAUUGGAGGGCAAGUCUGGUGCCAGCAGCCGCGGUAAUUCCAGCUCCAAUAGCGUAUAUUAAAGUUGUUGUGGUUAAAAAGCUCGUAGUUGGAUUUCGGCGGGUAGUGGUCGGUUUGAAUUGCUUCAACACUGGCUUUUUUACCCGUGUGUUCUGCCAGAAUUUAACGGGUGAUCUUCGCCGAUUGUCCGUUAGAACUGGCAGGUUUACUUUGAAAAAAUUAGAGUGCUCAAAGCAAGCUUGAUUGCUUGAAUAUUCGUGCAUGGAAUAAUAGAAUAGGAAGUCGUUUCUAUUUUGUUGGUUUUCGGAAAUCGACUUAAUGAUUAAUUGGGAUAGUCGGGGGCAUUUGUAUUCAAACGACAGAGGUGAAAUUCUUGGACCGUUUGAAGACAAACUACUGCGAAAGCAUUUGCCAAGAAUGUUUUCAUUAAUCAAGAACGAAAGUUAGAGGUUCGAAGGCGAUUGGAUACCGCCCUAGUUCUAACCAUAAACGAUGCCAGCUAGCGAUCUGCCGGUGCUUGAUUUUCUGGCCCGGCAGGCAGCUUCCGGGAAACCAAAGCUUGUGGGUUCCAGGGGAAGUAUGGUUGCAAAGCUGAAACUUAAAGGAAUUGACGGAAGGGCACCACCAGGAGUGGAGCCUGUGGCUUAAUUUGACCCAACACGGGAAAUCUCACCAGGCCCGGACACCAGAAGGAUUGACAGAUUGAUAGCUCUUUCUUGAUUUGGUGGGUGGUGGUGCAUGGCCGUUCUUAGUUGGUGGAGUGAUUUGUCUGGUUAAUUCCGAUAACGAACGAGACUCUGUCCUGUUAAAUAGAUCCAACCUAGUUGUAGGGUUGGAAUGUCUUCUUAGAGGGACUGGUGAUUAUUAGUCACACGAGAUUGAGCAAUAACAGGUCUGUGAUGCCCUUAGAUGUUCUGGGCCGCACACGCGCUACACUGAAGUGAUCAGCUAGUUUUUCCCUCUCCGAGAGGAGCGGGUAAACUGUUGAACCCACUUCGUGGUAGGGAUCGGAGCUUGCAAUUAUUCUCCGUGAACCAGGAAUUCCCAGUAGGUGCAAGUCAUAAGCUUGCAUCGAUUACGUCCCUGCCCUUUGUACACACCGCCCGUCGCUACUACCGAUUGAGUGUUUUAGUGAGGACCUCGGAUUGCUUGCCUGGCGGUUAACGCUGCCUAGCUGGCGAAAAGACGUCCAAACUGUAGCACUUAGAGGAAGUAAAAGUC